CGUCUAUAUACGUAUAGCAUAUCAAUAAGCGGAGGAAAAGAAACUAACUAGGAUUCCCUCAGUAACGGCGAGUGAAGCGGGAAGAGCUCAAAUUUGAAAUCUUCAAGGUUCUACCUUGACGAAUUGUAGUUUAAAGAAGUGUUUUCUGUUGGAGUUUUGGUAAAAGUUCUUUGGAAUAGGACAUCAUAGAGGGUGAGAAUCCCGUAUUUGACCAUUAUUUCCAACUUUGUGAUACACUUUCAAAGAGUCGGAUUGUUUGGGAAUGCAGUCCAAAAUGGGUGGUAAAUUUCAUCUAAAGCUAAAUACUGGCGAGAGACCGAUAGCGAACAAGUACCGUGAGGGAAAGAUGAAAAGAACUUUGAAAAGAGAGUUAAACAGUACGUGAAAUUGUCAAAAGGGAAGCGUUUGACACCAGUGUUGUUUUCUCGAAAAUCAAUUAAAAAUGGUAGGAUUUUGUGUUGUAUUGACUUUAUCAGCUUUCUGCACUUUUUUCUUGUCUUUUUUAAUGCACUUUUCGUUUAACAAGUCAACAUCAACUUCUUUUGCUGUAAAAGGGUCAUUGGAAGGUGGCUUUCAUUUUCGGUAGAAAGUGUUUAUAGCCUUUGACUUCUGCAGUCGGAGAGAUUGAGGUCUGCAGCGUAGAUCCUUCGGGGUUAGAUGACAUUUGUGCUAAGUUAUAGCUUUUCAUAGACAACAUGUUGACUAUGAUUAAGUCAUGUAGCUUACUCGCUUAUGCUAUUUUACCUACGCUUAGGAUGUUGAUCUGUAGUGCGUGCGC
This 778-nucleotide ribosomal RNA is filed under the name uncultured Neocallimastigales. RNAcentral's name for it is "partial large subunit ribosomal RNA". It matches the Rfam family "Eukaryotic large subunit ribosomal RNA", at positions 26 to 632 of the family's 3401-position model. The record is from RNAcentral. Lineage: Eukaryota; Fungi; Neocallimastigomycota; Neocallimastigomycetes; Neocallimastigales.